ACAAAAAUAUAAUUAACAUCUUAUUAUAAGAAUAAUAAUAUGGAAUACCUCAUAUCUAUUAGGGUAAAGACAACAUUGCUCUUGUUGUUAGAUAGGGUCAUCGGUGUCUGAAUGAUUUCAUGAACUGCUCCAAUAACAUUUACGAAUAAACCACAUUGUUAUAGAAAUAAAAUAACAAAAUCCAAUUUAUUUCAAAUGAAAACAAUCAUAAUUUCAAUACUUAAAUUUCCAAUUAAGAAUUCAGUUUGAAACUUUCCAGCAUAUAUCAUUAAAAAUAAUCAAGUUCAUAUGAUUAUGAGGAAUGUACGGAAAAUCUAUGAAUUUUACAGAAGAUGCACCACAAAAGAUCAAAUUUGAACUUAUGAGCAGAUGCGUUGAAGGAGAAAUCAUUCUUAGCAACCUUAAAAUUCGGCAUAAUAUAUGUAUUUCCUACAAUAAGAGUAUACUUAUGUUUUUGUACCAAACGCGGUGGUACACUGACUUAAACCAUGUGAUACUAUAAAAUCAUACAAAGAAAUAAACACUAUGAGAUACAAAAGCCUAUUUAUGUUUGAAAAAAUAUAUAUAGUUAUCCGGAUAACCAAAAAACAGGUUACUUUUGCAUCCAUUAAAACCAUUUACAAGUGUUCUUUGUUGAAAAUGCUUGUCACAGGCCAUAAAUCUUUAAUCCUAUCCUAACAGCAAGCUUCCAUAAUUUCUUGGGAUCAUUGAUAUCCUUCACAUUGUGAAUUGGAUGUUCCAUUGAUAACAAAGUUGACCUGAUAAUGAUAAUAAACAAACUCAUUAUUACAGAAGAUAAAACAAACUAAUUUCUAUGAUUUUUUACGGUAUUUUGAUAACAAACAAACACAAUAUUACAGAACAUGAAAGCAAACCAAUAAAACACAAAAGACAUACACAGUCAAAAAAAUCAUAACAAACCCAAUUAAAUAGUAAAUCCAGUGAAAAGAAAAAACGGACAUUCAACUGCAUUUGUAAACAACAAUAAACACAACACGUAAACAAUUAUCAAACUACUCAUUUGAACUUCAAAAACACACCAUUAAUAACUAAAGGAGAAAUAAAUAAUAAAAGAAAAUGUUUUAUAUCUUACCCGUGACAGAAAGGGAUGAAUUUGUGAUCGUAAAUCAUCAAGGAGUGUUAAUGGUAGAAGAAUGUGGAAGGCGGAAGUUGAAUGGUAGCAACUGAGUUAUAUGUUGUGAAUGAACGGAUGAGUUGUUGUAUGAUAUGAAUGAAUUGAAGCAAAAAUUUGGUAUGACUGUGUGUAGCUGAAAUAUUAAGACAUAUAGUUUCAUCUUUGUUUCGACUUCCUAAUGAAAAAUUGUAGCUACUCAAAGUGACUUUUAAAUUACUUUAAGAUGUAUUUGAAAAAUGUUAAGUUGUGCAAAUAAAUUAUGCACAUCGAACAUAAAAUGCAAUAAUGAAAAUGAUAAAAAUUAAUAGUUAAUUUGGAUUAAAAGAUAAAAAGUUUGUAUUAAUUAGCCUAAAAGUAAUUUGCCAUAACUGACCCUUGAAAAUAAUCAAUUUGAACUAAAGUUAAAAAGGGUGUAAAAGUGUUUUUUUGGUAGCAUGUAACUUUUAUAAUCAAUUUGAACUAAAGUUAGAAAGGGUGUAAAAGUGUUUUUGGUAGCAUGUAACUUUUAUAGAUAGAUAUUAG
This 1657-nucleotide long non-coding RNA is filed under the name Lathyrus oleraceus (garden pea). Its description in RNAcentral is "Pisum sativum (pea) long non-coding RNA (PSAT_LNC008982)". Lineage: Eukaryota; Viridiplantae; Streptophyta; Magnoliopsida; Fabales; Fabaceae. The record is from RNAcentral.